Molecule: ribosomal RNA, 229 nt
Filed under: uncultured bacterium
Lineage: Bacteria
Description: partial 16S ribosomal RNA
Rfam family: Bacterial small subunit ribosomal RNA
Source: RNAcentral
CACGUAGGCGGCCUGGUGAGUCAGAUGUGAAAGCCCGGGGCUUAACCCCGGAAGUGCAUUUGAUACUGUCAGGCUUGAGUAUGGGAGAGGGAAGUGGAAUUCCUGGUGUAGAGGUGAAAUUCGUAGAUAUCAGGAGGAACACCGGUGGCGAAGGCGACUUCCUGGACCAAUACUGACGCUGAGGUGCGAAGGCGUGGGUAGCAAACAGGAUUAGAUACCCUGGUAGUCC